UACGUAGGGUGCAAGCGUUAAUCGGAAUUACUGGGCGUAAAGCGUGCGCAGGCGGUGAUGUAAGACAGUUGUGAAAUCCCCGGGCUCAACCUGGGAACUGCAUCUGUGACUGCAUCGCUGGAGUGCGGCAGAGGGGGAUGGAAUUCCGCGUGUAGCAGUGAAAUGCGUAGAUAUGCGGAGGAACACCGAUGGCGAAGGCAAUCCCCUGGGCCGGCACUGACGCUCAUGCACGAAAGCGUGGGGAGCAAACAGG
This 253-nucleotide ribosomal RNA is filed under the name uncultured bacterium. RNAcentral's name for it is "partial 16S ribosomal RNA". It matches the Rfam family "Bacterial small subunit ribosomal RNA", at positions 524 to 776 of the family's 1533-position model. The record is from RNAcentral.